This 62-nucleotide transfer RNA is filed under the name Charaea flaviventris. RNAcentral's name for it is "tRNA-His". The record is from RNAcentral. Lineage: Eukaryota; Metazoa; Arthropoda; Insecta; Coleoptera; Chrysomelidae.
AUCUAAAUAGUUUAAGAAAAAUAUUGAUUUGUGAUAUCAAAGUUAUAAUUUUAUUUUAGAUU